UUUUUUUUUUUUUUUUUGUUGUAAAAAUUUUAGUUUUUGUUAAUUUUUUUUUCUCAAAGGAAAUCAGCUGAUAGCAGUAUUGCCAAUUAGUUAUAGAAGCUAUAUAUUUUGUAUGCAGAAAUUCAAAGCAUGCAGAGAUCUCGAGUCGAAAACAGAGCAAACUCUUGCACACGAAAUGACUCCCACCACCCAACAAAUGCAACUGCUGCAAUUUCAAUUGUAGUUCUUGAAGAAAGUUGCAGAUUUACCAACAGUUCCGGCGGUCCUGUUAUUUUUUGGGGUUGCAACAAGAGAUCAGUGAUGUGGUCGAAUCAGUGGUUGAGCGUCUGAAAACUUUGAGCCGCAAGCACAAGCAUGCAACUCUUAUCAAGGAUCCAUGUGUCUCAGUAAAGCGGAUAUUAUGGAGCCCGAUGGUACUCUAUUUGGUAGGUUCUCGAUUUGGUAAGCUUGAAUACGAUCCACGGUAACUUUUUCUAGAAAACUUUUAAGUGCAAUUGUUCUUUCAAACAGGAGUUGCAUAUCCAAUUAUACGCUUAUUUUGGUGGGAAUGAGAUUCACCAGCAUUUGGAGAUCGAUGCUCAUGCUGGUAGUGUUAAUGAUUUGGCGUUCUGCAACCCGGCUAUGCAACUUUGUGCCCUACCUUGCGGUGAUGAUAAGGCCAUUAAGGUCAUGAUGCUCCCGUGCAUUCUGUGUGCCCUCAUAACAAGGAAAAUGUCCAUUUUUUCUUUUCAACAUCAGUAAAUGGAAAAAUAAAAGCAUGGCUAUACGACAACAUGGGAUACCGGCUGGAUUACGAUGCUCCUGGUCACUCAUCCACAACAAUGGCCUAUGGUGCAGAUGGUAAAAGGUACUUAUGAUGCUAGACUGUGGAAUUUGAACCAUUGAUCAAGUUGAUUCUUGCCUAAAUUUGUGGUAUAGACUGACAAUCUGCAUGUACAUAAGUAUAAGAGAUCAUUUCCGUGU
Malus domestica (apple) is the source of this 963-nucleotide non-coding RNA. Lineage: Eukaryota; Viridiplantae; Streptophyta; Magnoliopsida; Rosales; Rosaceae. The record is from RefSeq and is a predicted model, not a curated record.